CUUUGCCAGCAACGGCCUAGACUGCACAACUGCGGGGCGGGGCGAAGCGGGAAGAGGUGGGGCGGGGCGUUCUGCUGUAGCGUUUCCGGCCCGGCCCAGAUCGGGAGCUCGCCUCCUGGCACCACCAUGACGUCAUGUCUCGUACCUGUACCGGGAGCCUGGCUUCGGGAUCUUCACGCCGCCGCUCACCAACUGCAUCCCGGGCAGUCAUUCCCAGACCUUGGUUUCAGUACUGCUGAAAUAUGAGCAGCUUCGUAGUGUGCUUCAGAGACUUGUGGUGAGAUGUGAUUGCUGAAAAUAUGUUUUUUAAUGAAAGGUUCAUGCUACGUAUUCCAUUUCUUUUAUGGAUGACGAUCUAGCCAAGAUACCUUGAAAUAAGAGCCUCGAAGGCGAAUUUUGCUUCCGCCUAUAUGAAAUACUUUAUAUGUAACUAGAAAAGUUAAGUGAGACCUGAAGAAGAGCGAAGGGCAGUAACAAGCUUCUAUUUUACAAUAACAAAUGUAAGGAAUAAUUUAUUAUCUGUUUAGGUGUAUGUAUGUUUGUAAGAGGGAACCUUUCAGACUUUUACAGUUUUUCCCAGUGUUCAACCAAAUUAAAAAGUUAUGAUUGCAAUCAUUAUUGCAUUACUCUAGUUGGAGCAUUUCCAGGAGCUGAGGCUAUUACCACUCUUGUGUCUUGAACCCCACCAGCCUUCAGACCUUCUUCCUUAGAGUGCCAGAAUGGUCUAAAUGGUGUGAGUUCCAAACACAGUUGUGAAGACAAUACUCUCUCAGGCCUGAGGCCCUUGAAGGAUUUCAUCCGACUGUCAAGGCACACUUCCAGAAGAGACUCAUCAUCCCACACACCAGUCCCUGUAGCCCACCGGUCUUUCCCACAGGUAAGUAUCAUUCCUGAGGUUGGUAUUUUGUUCAAUAUCUCUAAGCCAUAAAUAGUAUAGUCAUACCACAUCACCCCAUAGCCCCCAACCUCACAGCAUCCUCAAUUUAACCCCUCUGAGCACAAGGUUCUUUACAGUUACAGAUUUAUGUAGUAUUUUCUUCAGCCUUCCUGUCCAUCCAGAUAGCCAGUACCUGUUUGCCUUUACUUGGGAAGGACAUCAGUAUACUUGGAUUAUUAUGCCUCAGGUCUACACAGAAAGCCCUACUUACUUUUCACAGAGAGUGAGAGGAGACUUGGCCAGUGUGAAUUUUGCCUACAGCUCUACUUUUCUUCAAUAUGUUGAUGACCUUUUGUUAUGCUCUGCUUCUAAGGAAGCAUGCUUCAAGGACAGCCUAUUCCUUCUAACUCAGCUAGCUCACAAAGGCAGAAGUCUCAAGGAGAAAGUUCCAGUUUGUUCAAAUCCAGGUAAGUUACUUGAGUCAUGCAUCAAGGGCACAUCUCAGUUUCCCACUUCCACCCACCAAGUGCCAUUUGAGUUGCUUUUUUGGACUAACAGGCUAUUGCAGAGUUGGGUUCCUAAUUUACUCAUGUAUGCACAAACCUUUUUCCCUGCUAAAAGGCAGAGGCCCAAUCCUCGUUUGAAAUAAUGAGGCUGAAUCAGCUUUUCAAACUUCAAAUGUUCAGUUGGCCACAGCCCCUGCUGUAGGGCACCCUAACUAUUUUCUUCCCUUUCUGCUAUUUGUUCAUGAAAUUAUUAAUAACAGGAAACACCCUUGGAGAGCUCAUUCAGUCCCAUGGGGGAAAACAGAGAUCUAUUGGCUUUUAGGGCCAACAGUUGAAGCCUGUAGGUCAAGAUCUUUCACCUUGCCUCCAAGCAAUAGCAGCCAGCACUGCCAUUCUGCAGGUUAUAGAAUAGACAGUUUUGGGGUCUCCCUUAUGGACUUUUGUCCCUUAACUGGUUGAGGCACUCCACACACACUCUUAUCUACUCACUGACUGACAUCCUGUGAAAUCUUGUUUUUCUCUCCAAAUGUCUUUUUGUCUUAUGGUAAUGCCCUAAAUCCUGCUACCCACUUAACAUCAGCAACAGAUAAGACCUCACAUGACUGCAUAACCACAGUUGAUAUUUUGAGUAGUCUGCAUCCAGAUUACAAGAAACACCUUUAGACAAGCUUGACACCUCUUGCUGUAUCUAUGAAAUAGUGCUGGACAACAAAUCUGGAUAUGCUGUCACCACUGCCUUCACUAUAAUAGAAUCCAAUGCUCUGCCCCUCGUUUGUUCAGCCCAACAAGUUGAACCACACACACUAACUUGCACCUGCACUUUAGCCUCUGGCAAAUGUGCUAACAUUUCCACCAAUAGCAGUUAUGUUUUGGGAGUAUCUCGUGACUUUGAAAUGCUUUGGAAACAGAGAGGUUUCUUGAGCUCGUGGGGGAAGUGAAAUUGAAAAUGGCCCCUUUGUUAAGGCUUUGGUGGAUGCAAUCUUGCUGCAUGACAGUUGGCGAUGAUAAAUUGCCGGGCCUUCCAAAGACAGCACUGAAGACUGGCUGACAGAGUUGCUAAGGCCGCAGCAUUACAAGACUCAGACUUCAUAAAGAAACUUGUUAGUCACUGUUCACACCAAGUUAACUGUGUACUACUUGGAAGGACACCCAAGAUUUAAAGGAUAUUAUCAGAAACGGGAAAGUACAUGCUACAGUUAGGAAAGAAUAGUGAUGGGCUUCUGAAGGAUGCCCGUUUGACCAACAUCCUUGGCUUUGGUAUGGGCCAACCUGCUCUUUCUGCAGUCGCUCAAGAAGGCAACCAUCCUGCUCUUUCUGCAGUCGCUCAAGAAGCCAUCUUAAAGUUAAUACAGGAAAUAACUCGUUAAAGAAUUGAUAAAAUGAUAGCUUGAGGGAAACAAUACUUUUAGAGACCUCCCAUAGUAGCAGCUCAAAUAUGUCAACGGUAUCAGAUCUGUCUGAGGUAUAACCCACCAAAAUCUAUUCAUAUUCUCAAGGCCACUUUCCUUUACCUGCUGGUUCCUCUACUAUCCAGCAACUGAAUUUUAGCCAGCUGCCUCCCUCUCAAGGAUCCAAAUAUGUUCUUGUGAUGCUUUGUACGUAUUGUCAUUGAAUGGAAGCCUUCCCUUGCAGACGAGCAGCAGUGGCCAAAACAUUACUGUAGGGAUUAUUCUCACGUGGGGACUUCUCUUGGAAUUAUAUGAUAAAAGUACCAUUGCACUAGACAAAUUCCAAAUGUUGCUUGUGAAGUCUGGCCUACAACGUUUCUGCUGUACCGAUCAGCCUCAAUCGUCUGGUCAAAUGGAAAGAACUAAUGUGCGUGCGUGUGUGCUUGGUCGCUAUGUCAUGUCCAACUCUUUGUGACCCCGUGGACUGUAGCCUGCCAGACCCCUCUGUCCAUGGAAUUUUCCAGGCAAGAAUACUGGAACGGGUUGCCAUUUCCUCCCCCAGGGGAUCUUCCUGACCCAGGGAUCAAACUCACAUCUCUUGUGUCUUUUGCAUAGGCAGGCGGAGUCUUUUACCACUGUGCCACCAGGAAGCCAAAAGAACUAAUUGCAUAAUAAAAACAUAUGGAAUAUUACUCAGCCAUUAAAAAGGGACACAUUUGAGUCAGUUCUAAUGAGGUGGAUAAACAUAAAGCCUAUUAUACGGAGUAAAGUAAGUCAGAAAGAGAAAAACAAAUACCACAUAUUAAAGCAUAUAUAUGGAAUCUAGAAAGAUGGUCCUGAUGAACCUGUGUGCGGGGUAGCAUUGGAGAUGCAGCCAGAGAGAACAGACUUGUGGACACAGUUAGGGAAGGAGAGGGAGGGAUAAACUGAAAUAGUUACAUUGAAACACACACAUUACCAUAUGUAAAAUGGAUAACCAGUGGAAAUUGGCUAUAUGACACAAGAAGCUCAAACCCAGUGCUC
This is a long non-coding RNA of Dama dama (fallow deer), 3794 nucleotides long. RefSeq lists it as uncharacterized. Lineage: Eukaryota; Metazoa; Chordata; Mammalia; Artiodactyla; Cervidae. The record is from RefSeq and is a predicted model, not a curated record. The transcript has 3 exons.